UGCGUAGGUGGCUAUUCAAGUUGGUGGUGAAAUCCCGGGGCUCAACCUCGGUGCUACCACCAAUACUGUUUAGCUUGAGUACGGGAGAGGUAACUGGAAUUCCUAGUGUAGCGGUGGAAUGCGUAGAUAUUAGGAGGAACACCAGAGGCGAAGGCGAGUUACUGGACCGCAACUGACACUGAGGCACGAAAGCGUGGGGAGCAAACA
RNAcentral lists this ribosomal RNA (207 nucleotides) under uncultured bacterium. RNAcentral's name for it is "partial 16S ribosomal RNA". It matches the Rfam family "Bacterial small subunit ribosomal RNA", at positions 568 to 774 of the family's 1533-position model. The record is from RNAcentral.